This 274-nucleotide ribosomal RNA is filed under the name uncultured bacterium. RNAcentral describes it as "partial 16S ribosomal RNA". It matches the Rfam family "Bacterial small subunit ribosomal RNA", at positions 523 to 796 of the family's 1533-position model. The record is from RNAcentral.
AUACGGAGGGUCCGAGCGUUAUCGGGAAUCAUUGGGUUUAAAGGGUCCGUAGGCGGGAAUCUAAGUCAGUGGUGAAAUCUUGCAGCUCAACUGUAAAAUUGCCAUUGAUACUGGAUUUCUUGAAUUAGUGUGAAGUGGUUAGAAUGUGUAGUGUAGCGGUGAAAUGCAUAGAUAUUACACAGAAUACCAAUUGCGAAGGCAGAUCACUAACACUAUAUUGACGCUAAGGGACGAAAGCGUGGGGAGCGAACAGGAUUAGAAACCCCAGUAGUCC